Molecule: ribosomal RNA, 424 nt
Filed under: uncultured bacterium
Lineage: Bacteria
Description: bacterial SSU rRNA
Rfam family: Bacterial small subunit ribosomal RNA
Source: RNAcentral
UGGGGAAUCUUAGACAAUGGGGGAAACCCUGAUCUAGCGAUGCCGCGUGGAUGAAGAAGGCCUUCGGGUUGUAAAGUCCUUUCACCUGUGAAGAUAAUGACGGUAGCAGGAGAAGAAGCACCGGCUAACUCUGUGCCAGCAGCCGCGGUAAGACAGAGGGUGCUAGCGUUGUUCGGAAUGACUGGGCGUAAAGGGCGCGUAGGCGGGAAUAUUAGUCAAGCGUGAAAGCCCCAGGCUUAACCUGGGAAUUGCGCCUGAAACGGUAUACCUAGAGGACGAGAGAGGAAAGCGGAAUUCCUAGUGUAGAGGUGAAAUUCGUAGAUAUUAGGAGGAACAUCAGAGGCGAAGGCGGCUUUCUGGCUCGUUACUGACGCUGAGGCGCGAAAGCGUGGGGAGCAAACAGGAUUAGAUACCCCCGUAGUCC